RNAcentral lists this ribosomal RNA (253 nucleotides) under uncultured bacterium. RNAcentral's name for it is "partial 16S ribosomal RNA". It matches the Rfam family "Bacterial small subunit ribosomal RNA", at positions 524 to 776 of the family's 1533-position model. The record is from RNAcentral.
UACGAAGGGGGCUAGCGUUGCUCGGAAUCACUGGGCGUAAAGCGCACGUAGGCGGAUUGUUAAGUCAGGGGUGAAAGCCUCCAGCUCAACUGGAGAAGUGCCUCUGAUACUGGUCGUCUCGAGGGAGAUAGGGGCGUGCGGAACUUCCGGUGGAGCGGUGAAAUGCGUAGAUAUCGGAAGGAACACCGAUGGCGAAAGCAGCGCGCUGGAUCUCUUCUGACGCUGAGGCGCGAAAGCCAGGGGAGCGAACGGG